This 1357-nucleotide ribosomal RNA is filed under the name Enterococcus durans. RNAcentral's name for it is "bacterial SSU rRNA". It matches the Rfam family "Bacterial small subunit ribosomal RNA", at positions 66 to 1394 of the family's 1533-position model. The record is from RNAcentral. Lineage: Bacteria; Bacillati; Bacillota; Bacilli; Lactobacillales; Enterococcaceae.
ACGCUUCUUUUUCCACCGGAGCUUGCUCCACCGGAAAAAGAAGAGUGGCGAACGGGUGAGUAACACGUGGGUAACCUGCCCAUCAGAAGGGGAUAACACUUGGAAACAGGUGCUAAUACCGUAUAACAAUCGAAACCGCAUGGUUUUGAUUUGAAAGGCGCUUUCGGGUGUCGCUGAUGGAUGGACCCGCGGUGCAUUAGCUAGUUGGUGAGGUAACGGCUCACCAAGGCCACGAUGCAUAGCCGACCUGAGAGGGUGAUCGGCCACAUUGGGACUGAGACACGGCCCAAACUCCUACGGGAGGCAGCAGUAGGGAAUCUUCGGCAAUGGACGAAAGUCUGACCGAGCAACGCCGCGUGAGUGAAGAAGGUUUUCGGAUCGUAAAACUCUGUUGUUAGAGAAGAACAAGGAUGAGAGUAACUGUUCAUCCCUUGACGGUAUCUAACCAGAAAGCCACGGCUAACUACGUGCCAGCAGCCGCGGUAAUACGUAGGUGGCAAGCGUUGUCCGGAUUUAUUGGGCGUAAAGCGAGCGCAGGCGGUUUCUUAAGUCUGAUGUGAAAGCCCCCGGCUCAACCGGGGAGGGUCAUUGGAAACUGGGAGACUUGAGUGCAGAAGAGGAGAGUGGAAUUCCAUGUGUAGCGGUGAAAUGCGUAGAUAUAUGGAGGAACACCAGUGGCGAAGGCGGCUCUCUGGUCUGUAACUGACGCUGAGGCUCGAAAGCGUGGGGAGCAAACAGGAUUAGAUACCCUGGUAGUCCACGCCGUAAACGAUGAGUGCUAAGUGUUGGAGGGUUUCCGCCCUUCAGUGCUGCAGCUAACGCAUUAAGCACUCCGCCUGGGGAGUACGACCGCAAGGUUGAAACUCAAAGGAAUUGACGGGGGGCCCGCACAAGCGGUGGAGCAUGUGGUUUAAUUCGAAGCAACGCGAAGAACCUUACCAGGUCUUGACAUCCUUUGACCACUCUAGAGAUAGAGCUUCCCCUUCGGGGGCAAAGUGACAGGUGGUGCAUGGUUGUCGUCAGCUCGUGUCGUGAGAUGUUGGGUUAAGUCCCGCAACGAGCGCAACCCUUAUUGUUAGUUGCCAUCAUUCAGUUGGGCACUCUAGCAAGACUGCCGGUGACAAACCGGAGGAAGGUGGGGAUGACGUCAAAUCAUCAUGCCCCUUAUGACCUGGGCUACACACGUGCUACAAUGGGAAGUACAACGAGUCGCGAAGUCGCGAGGCUAAGCUAAUCUCUUAAAGCUUCUCUCAGUUCGGAUUGUAGGCUGCAACUCGCCUACAUGAAGCCGGAAUCGCUAGUAAUCGCGGAUCAGCACGCCGCGGUGAAUACGUUCCCGGGCCUUGUACACACCGCC